RNAcentral lists this transfer RNA (74 nucleotides) under Thermoprotei archaeon. RNAcentral describes it as "tRNA-Trp". It matches the Rfam family "tRNA". From Rfam's summary of the family: Transfer RNA (tRNA) molecules are approximately 80 nucleotides in length. Their secondary structure includes four short double-helical elements and three loops (D, anti-codon, and T loops). Further hydrogen bonds mediate the characteristic L-shaped molecular structure. tRNAs have two regions of fundamental functional importance: the anti-codon, which is responsible for specific mRNA codon recognition, and the 3' end, to which the tRNAs corresponding amino acid is attached (by aminoacyl-tRNA synthetases). tRNAs cope with the degeneracy of the genetic code in two manners: having more than one tRNA (with a specific anti-codon) for a particular amino acid; and 'wobble' base-pairing, i.e. permitting non-standard base-pairing at the 3rd anti-codon position. Lineage: Archaea; Thermoproteati; Thermoproteota; Thermoprotei. The record is from RNAcentral.
GGGCCCGUAGCCUAGCCAGGUAGGGCGUCCGGCUCCAGACCGGAAGGUCGGGGGUUCAAAUCCCUCCGGGCCCA